RNAcentral lists this small RNA (82 nucleotides) under Flavobacterium frigoris. RNAcentral describes it as "Flavo-1 RNA". It matches the Rfam family "Flavo-1 RNA". The record is from RNAcentral. Lineage: Bacteria; Pseudomonadati; Bacteroidota; Flavobacteriia; Flavobacteriales; Flavobacteriaceae.
CCCUAGCCCAGAUUAAAGUGAAAAUCCUUUUCUCUCGUUUCUUUAACGAGAGAAAAGAUUGUAACGGAAAGCUGGAAAUAGC